Molecule: ribosomal RNA, 654 nt
Filed under: uncultured bacterium
Lineage: Bacteria
Description: bacterial SSU rRNA
Rfam family: Bacterial small subunit ribosomal RNA
Source: RNAcentral
UGCAGUCGACGAGAAUCUAAUGACGGAGUUUUCGGACAACUGAUUUAGAGGACAGUGGCGGACUGGUGAGUAACGCGUGAGGAACCUGCCUUUCAGAGGGGGACAACAGUUGGAAACGACUGCUAAUACCGCAUGAUGUGUAAUCGGGACAUCCCGGAUACACCAAAGAUUUAUCGCUGAAAGAUGGCCUCGCGUCUGAUUAGAUAGUUGGCGGGGUAACGGCCCACCAAGUCGACGAUCAGUAGCCGGACUGAGAGGUUGAACGGCCACAUUGGGACUGAGAUACGGCCCAGACUCCUACGGGAGGCAGCAGUGGGGAAUAUUGGGCAAUGGGGGAAACCCUGACCCAGCAACGCCGCGUGAAGGAAGAAGGCUUUCGGGUUGUAAACUUCUUUUACCAGGGACGAAGGACGUGACGGUACCUGGAGAAAAAGCCACGGCUAACUACGUGCCAGCAGCCGCGGUAAUACGUAGGUGGCAAGCGUUGUCCGGAUUUACUGGGUGUAAAGGGUGCGUAGGCGGCUUUGCAAGUCAGAUGUGAAAUCUAUGGGCUCAACCCAUAAACUGCAUUUGAAACUGUAGAGCUUGAGUGAAGUAGAGGCAGGCGGAAUUCCCCGUGUAGCGGUGAAAUGCGUAGAGAUGGGGAGGAACACC